This 1557-nucleotide ribosomal RNA is filed under the name Cercartetus concinnus. Its description in RNAcentral is "16S ribosomal RNA". It matches the Rfam family "Bacterial large subunit ribosomal RNA". The record is from RNAcentral. Lineage: Eukaryota; Metazoa; Chordata; Mammalia; Diprotodontia; Burramyidae.
GCCAAUUUAAGCCCUCUCAAACAUAAUCAAAAUUAUUUUCACUAUUAACCAAAACAUUUACUUAUCUAAGUAUAGGCGAUAGAACAGAGUAUUAGGCGCAAUAACGCAAGUACCGUAAGGGAAAAAUGAAAGACUGAUUAAAAGCACUAAAAAGCAAAGAUUAAAACUUCUACCUUUUGCAUAAUGAUUUAGCUAGUUAAAUCGGACAAAAAGAAUUACGCCCGACUUCCCGAAAUUAAGUGAGCUACUAUAAAACAGUAAUUGAACUAACUCGUCUAUGUGGCAAAAUAGUGAGAAGAUUUCAUAGUAGAGGUGAAAAGCCAACCGAACUUAAAGAUAGCUGGUUAUCCAAAACACGAAUUUUAGUUCAACUUUAAAUUUAAUAAAAGUAUUACCUAAACCUAACUUAAAUUUAAAAGCUAAUCGACAGAGGGACAACUCUUUGGAUUAUGUAGACAAACUUAUUUAGAGGAUAAUGACUUAUACUAAUACAUUGUGGGCCUAAAAGCAGCCACCAAUAAUGAAAGCGUUAAAGCUCAAAUACACUAAAUACCUAAUACCAAAAACAUUAUCAAAAUCCCUAACUUACUAUUGGAUGAUUCUAUAGAUAAAUAGAAGCCAUAAUGCUAAAAUAAGUAACAAGAAAUAUUUCUCCUUGCACAAGCCUACAUUAGCAACGGAAACUCCACUAAUAGUUAACAAACCAAUAAUUUUAGUCAUACACAAGCCUAUUAUUGAAUUAAUUGUUAACCCAACACAGGCGUGCAAAUAAGGAAAGAUUAAAAGGAAUAAAAGGAACUCGGCAAACAAAAACCCCGCCUGUUUACCAAAAACAUCACCUCUAGCAUCACAAAUAUUAGAGGCACCGCCUGCCCAGUGAGUUUAACUUUAACGGCCGCGGUAUCCUGACCGUGCAAAGGUAGCAUAAUCACUUGUCCCCUAAAUAGAGACUUGUAUGAAUGGCAUCACGAGGGUUUAACUGUCUCUUAUUCUCAAUCAGUGAAAUUGACUUUCCCGUGCAGAGGCGGGAAUAAUAAUACAAGACGAGAAGACCCUGUGGAGCUUAAGUUUCAUAAUCUAACUUAAUCUACUUCACCCUACGGACAUAAAAAGAUAGUAACUAGAUUAUAACCUUUGGUUGGGGCGACCUCGGAGCAAAAAUUAACCUCCGAAUGAUUAAACCUAGAUCAACAAAUCUAAGUGUAAUAAUACCAGUAAUUGACCCAUAUUUUGAUCAACGGAACAAGUUACCCCAGGGAUAACAGCGCAAUCCUAUUCAAGAGCCCAUAUCAACAAUUAGGGUUUACGACCUCGAUGUUGGAUCAGGACAUCCCAAUGGUGCAACCGCUAUUAAAGGUUCGUUUGUUCAACGAUUAAAGUCCUACGUGAUCUGAGUUCAGACCGGAGAAAUCCAGGUCGGUUUCUAUCUGUAUAUUAAUUUCUCCUAGUACGAAAGGACAAGAGAAGUAAGGCCAAUGUUAUCAACAAGCCUUAAAGACAAGAUAUGAACAUAUCUAAAUAUCUUAACUUAAUACUUUUAAUCUCUAGAAAAGAGCU